AACGCGAAGAACCUUACCUACUCUUGACAUCCAGAGAACUUAGCAGAGAUGCUUUGGUGCCUUCGGGAACUCUGAGACAGGUGCUGCAUGGCUGUCGUCAGCUCGUGUUGUGAAAUGUUGGGUUAAGUCCCGCAACGAGCGCAACCCUUAUCCUUUGUUGCCAGCGAUUCGGUCGGGAACUCAAAGGAGACUGCCAGUGAUAAACUGGAGGAAGGUGGGGAUGACGUCAAGUCAUCAUGGCCCUUACGAGUAGGGCUACACACGUGCUACAAUGGCAUAUACAAAGAGAAGCGACCUCGCGAGAGCAAGCGGACCUCAUAAAGUAUGUCGUAGUCCGGAUUGGAGUCUGCAACUCGACUCCAUGAAGUCGGAAUCGC
This 377-nucleotide ribosomal RNA is filed under the name uncultured Klebsiella sp. RNAcentral's name for it is "SSU rRNA". It matches the Rfam family "Bacterial small subunit ribosomal RNA", at positions 958 to 1335 of the family's 1533-position model. Lineage: Bacteria; Pseudomonadati; Pseudomonadota; Gammaproteobacteria; Enterobacterales; Enterobacteriaceae. The record is from RNAcentral.